RNAcentral lists this ribosomal RNA (253 nucleotides) under uncultured bacterium. RNAcentral's name for it is "partial 16S ribosomal RNA". It matches the Rfam family "Bacterial small subunit ribosomal RNA", at positions 524 to 776 of the family's 1533-position model. The record is from RNAcentral.
UACGUAGGAUGCAAGCGUUGUCCGGAUUUAUUGGGUUUAAAGGGUGCGUAGGCGGCAUAUUAAGUUAGUGGUGAAAACGUUCGGCUUAACCGAAUACCCGCCAUUGAUACUGAUAGACUUGAGUGCGACAGAGGGUGUUGGAAUGUGUGGUGUAGCGGUGAAAUGCUUAGAUAUCACGCAGAACACCAAUUGCGAAGGCAGAUGCCUAUGUCGUAACUGACGCUGAGGCAAGAAAGCGUGGGGAGCAAACAGG